GACGAACGCUGGCGGCGUGCUUAACACAUGCAAGUCGAACGGAAAGGCCCUGCUUUUGUGGGGUGCUCGAGUGGCGAACGGGUGAGUAACACGUGAGUAACCUGCCCUUGACUUUGGGAUAACUUCAGGAAACUGGGGCUAAUACCGGAUAGGAGCUCCUGCUGCAUGGUGGGGGUUGGAAAGUUUCGGCGGUUGGGGAUGGACUCGCGGCUUAUCAGCUUGUUGGUGUGGUAGUGGCUUACCAAGGCUUUGACGGGUAGCCGGCCUGAGAGGGUGACCGGCCACAUUGGGACUGAGAUACGGCCCAGACUCCUACGGGAGGCAGCAGGGGGGAAUAUUGCACAAUGGGCGGAAGCCAGAUGCAGCAACGCCGCGUGCGGGAUGACGGCCUUCGGGUUGUAAACCGCUUUCGCCUGUGACGAAGCGUGAGUGACGGUAAUGGGUAAAGAAGCACCGGCUAACUACGUG
Molecule: ribosomal RNA, 468 nt
Filed under: uncultured bacterium
Lineage: Bacteria
Description: partial 16S ribosomal RNA
Rfam family: Bacterial small subunit ribosomal RNA
Source: RNAcentral